Molecule: ribosomal RNA, 117 nt
Filed under: Gemmiger formicilis
Lineage: Bacteria; Bacillati; Bacillota; Clostridia; Eubacteriales; Oscillospiraceae
Also listed under: 1 other name
Source: RNAcentral
GCCGGUGCCGAUGACGCAGAGGUCCCACCUGUUCCCAUUCCGAACACAGUAGUUAAGCUCUGUCGUGCCGAAGAUAGUUGGUUGGAGACGACCCGCAAAAAUAGGUAGGCGCCGGCU